GAGCCCGUAGUUUAAAUGGUUAAAAUUCGCCGCUCAUAACGGUUGCGAUGAAGGUUCAAAUCCUUCCGGGCUUA
This 74-nucleotide transfer RNA is filed under the name Vermamoeba vermiformis. Its description in RNAcentral is "tRNA-Ile". It matches the Rfam family "tRNA". Rfam says of the family: Transfer RNA (tRNA) molecules are approximately 80 nucleotides in length. Lineage: Eukaryota; Tubulinea; Echinamoebida; Vermamoebidae. The record is from RNAcentral.